Molecule: long non-coding RNA, 1192 nt
Filed under: Olea europaea subsp. europaea
Lineage: Eukaryota; Viridiplantae; Streptophyta; Magnoliopsida; Lamiales; Oleaceae
Source: RNAcentral
CGUCUCACACCUUUGCAGCUAUUUACAAUACCGAUUUGUAUUAAUUGUAAUGGUAGACAAUUAUGAAUGGAAAGUCGAUUGGUAAUGAUUAAAAUUUUUACAAACAAAAAUUUCGUUGGUAAAAAGUUUACUCUUUACGAGUUUCCAAAUACGUUGGUAAAGGGAGUAUAUAUACAUUCAAACAUUAAGGAAAUAUGAAAUUUAUCUUUAUUUUUUUCGAUUAUCCCACUUGAAACCAUCACCACCCAAAUAGUCUCAUCGCCAAGUUCUCAUCCAGACAAAACCAUUUCCUUUGAUAUCUAGCCGCCAACGCUCAUCCAUGCCAAAACUCGUGCAAUUUUGGAAGGAUUUUCUUCCCAAUCAUAUUCGAAUUCCAAUAAAAACAUGUACCUAAAUCCUCUAACAAUUAUCCUUUUUAUUUCCCUCUUUCUUCCAUUCUACUUCAAGUCUUCUAUUCAUUUACUUCAAUUUUGAACUCGUCAAAUCCUUCCUAUUGUGUGUUGUCACACAUGUCCUACCCACCUGGGCCAAUGGCCCACUCAUCCUGAUCCACGUGGCAUUCCUGCCGAGGUGGCACACAUUGCCGAGGUGGGUUAUAUCCGAAGUGCUUCAAGCCGAGGCUCCUCGAUCCGAUGUACGCGAAUCUACCGAAGUCCAACUACCGAGGCCCAUGACCCCGAGGCAUGGAACCUGUUGGAUGUAGCCGAGGUCCUCAAGUGGAAGUAUUUGUCAAAUGGUCGAAGCCUUGAAGUUGAUGCACGAGCCUCUUAACCACAAAGAGCUUCCUCCACUAUCACUUCUCCCAAGAGAUCGCCUGCUCAGAGAUCUUAUUCGAAUGACUGAUGGAACGUUUGUCACAAGCAUAAAGGUCAAGUCUUGUCACUAGUAUAAAGGACCUGUGCAAGCAAUAAAUGCGCCGUAAGCUAGCAAGUCAAGUCCCAUACCUAAGAACAGACGUUUGAACUAAAGAGAUGAGGCCACGUGCCACUUUAUCCAAGGGCUCCCAUUUCAUAUGUAUCACUAUAAAUACUCCCAUUGUGUAAUGUCAAAGGCUAAUGCAAGAAUCAAUACUAAAGACUAUAUUUUACUCAACUCUCUCUCAUUUACUUGUAAUACACAAAUCGAGUUUAUACACUUUUACAUAUACAUCUACGAGCACCGGUUGGUAAUUAUUGUACAAUCGGAUUACGAA